CAGGACGAACGCUGGCGGCGUGCUUAACACAUGCAAGUCGAACGAUGAAGCCGGAGCUUGCUCCGGUGGAUUAGUGGCGAACGGGUGAGUAACACGUGAGCAAUCUGCCCUUGACUCUGGGAUAACUGCGGGAAACUGUAGCUAAUACCGGAUACGACACCUUGGGGCAUCCCAGGGUGUGGAAAGAAUUUCGGUCAAGGAUGAGCUCGCGGCCUAUCAGCUAGUUGGUGAGGUAAUGGCUCACCAAGGCGACGACGGGUAGCCGGCCUGAGAGGGUGACCGGCCACACUGGAACUGAGACACGGUCCAGACUCCUACGGGAGGCAGCAGUGGGGAAUAUUGCACAAUGGACGAAAGUCUGAUGCAGCAACGCCGCGUGAGGGAUGAAGGCCUUCGGGUUGUAAACCUCUUUUAGCAGGGAAGAAGCGAAAGUGACGGUACCUGCAGAAAAAGCACCGGCUAACUACGUG
Molecule: ribosomal RNA, 470 nt
Filed under: uncultured bacterium
Lineage: Bacteria
Description: bacterial SSU rRNA
Rfam family: Bacterial small subunit ribosomal RNA
Source: RNAcentral